RNAcentral lists this ribosomal RNA (468 nucleotides) under uncultured bacterium. RNAcentral's name for it is "partial 16S ribosomal RNA". It matches the Rfam family "Bacterial small subunit ribosomal RNA", at positions 28 to 507 of the family's 1533-position model. The record is from RNAcentral.
GACGAACGCUGGCGGCGUGCUUAAUACAUGCAAGUCGAACGGAAAGGUCCUGCUCUUGCUGGGUGCUCGAGUGGCGAACAGGUGAGUAACACGUGAGUAUCCUGCCCUUGUCUUUGUGAUAACUUCAGGAAACUGCGGCUCAUACCGCAUAUGAUCUCCUGCUGCACGUUGUUGGUUGGAAAGUUUCGGCGGUUGGGGAUGGACUCGCGGCUUAUCAGCUUGAUUGGCGAGUAGUGGCGUACCAAGGCUUUGACGGGUAGCCGGCCUGAGAGGGUUACCGGCCACAUUGGGACUGAGAUACGGCCCAGACGCCUACGGGAGGCAGCAGUGGAGAAUAUUGCACAAUGGGCGGAAGUCUGAUGCAGCAGCGCCGCGUGCGGGAUGACGGCCUUCGGGUUGUAAACCGCUUUCGCCUGUGACGAAGCGUGAGUGACGGUAAUGGGUAAAGAAGCACCGGCUAACUACGUG